Long non-coding RNA from Homo sapiens (human), 1714 nucleotides. Ensembl annotates it as POLR1H antisense, pseudogene. Its record names the gene POLR1HASP. The record is from Ensembl. Lineage: Eukaryota; Metazoa; Chordata; Mammalia; Primates; Hominidae.
CUGGUACUGAGAGGUUGAGCACAAAAUUGGAACGCAGUCGCGGGGUAUAUCCCCCUGAAAACCGUACGUUGCCAAAUAAUGAUUUCUUUGGAUUAGAGAACUACAACUCCCCUGGGUCCUGAGCCGGUAUUUCCCUUUUGCGGCUGCACCGUAGUUAAAAACAAAGCUAAGUGUUCUGGGACGUAUAGUUCUAGCGUUCCUUGGGUCCCGCUGGCGAGCGUGGGCUUUCUGCAGCUCGCAACCGGCCUCGUGCUUUGCGGACGGUUCACUGCGCUUGGAAAGGGAUUGGCCUGGGGUACAUCAUCUAAAGAUCCUAGGAUUGCUGCAGGUCAGCAGUCUCCACUGGAAAAAAAGAUCUUGCCUCGAGGCAAACACACGUCACCGCGUCCGCCUGGGGCAGGUCAGGGAAGGGACGCGAGGCAGCCGUGUCUCCGCAUUCUGUGAGCGGCAGCGCCCUGGGCCUCGCUGAUCUUGUGUCAUUUCAGUGACCUUCGCUCUAGUCUUUGACGGGGCCACACUCGGGGUGUAAAUUAGGAUCCUCACUGAAGGCGCGCGACCCUGAGAGGCUUUUUCCUGGUCCCUUAGUUGUGAGUUUUCCUGCGGGCGGCGGAGCCCGUUUCCACCAGAACCGCCCAGAGGCCGGCGCUGCCUUCCUGGGGUGACGGAGCAGCUGGAAGCGUUUUCGGAUCCUGGAAUCAGUGGGCGGCCCGUGGGAGGGGCUGAGGCGCAGUUCCCUGCUCACCCGGCUCCGAAUCCACCGCGGUGCUGUUUCAAGCGAGUCAGAUUCCAGAUCGCGCUCCAGCCGGGACUCGGAAUUCCUGCCCCGUGGGUCUGCAUUUUCACAGCGGCAGGUGUGAGUGCCGCGCAGCUGGAGACCAGAACCCUGAAGGCAGCUCGGCCCUCCCCAGCCCACAGCGCCGUUAUUCCGUUUCUAUAUCAGUAAACACUUGUCAUUUUCCGUAGACCAGGGCGGGGUGAUGGGUGAUCCCAGUCCUCGCAGUGAACUCCGGGCCGCAGUCCUGAGAACGCGCUCGGGCGCCCAGCGCAGCCGCGUCCUGAGUUACACACGCGACCACGCUGGGCCUUUUCUCUUUCUUUUCCGGACCCAGCAGUGGCGCCUACAGUCUGCGAGGAGAAAAUCACCUUUGUGCUGGUAAGUCCAGGAAUCUAAGGCGAGUGCUGAGGGAGAAAACGUAGUUGAUGGCUCAGAGCAGAAGGAGCUGGAGGUAGGGUAGAGGGGGAGGGCUUUGGACAGAAAAGACCUGGGAGAUUUGGUUGGGGAGGGGCAGCCAGGCCUAGACCCUGGGGAGCGACUCAUCCAAAGUCCAAGAUCAUCACUGCCUCCCCUGCCCCAGAAAGGGAGGGAUUGGCUUCAUGUCUUGUCGCGAUCACCUCUAAAUGCGUUGGAACAAACUUUGCAUAUUAUUAUUAGUAUCAUCGUCAUUGAAGUAUUAAAAGUCUUCUUGGGGGUGAGCUGAAUGAGAUCCUUUGCUGGAACUGCCGCAGGGAGAAAAAGUCCUCGAGAGAGGGUAGACACUGUGGAGGGAAGAGCUUGGGACCAGCGUCAGGAGAGCUGGGUCCAUCUCCCUCUCUGCCCCUCACUACCCUUGUGACCUUUAGCAGUGUAAAUAAUCCCUCUAAGGUGGGGACAAGACCCCAGUCCCUGCUGUGCUCAAUAAAUGAUAAUGCUCGAAAUAAAUAAUCAGUGAAUGUG